AACUAACGAGAGAGAAAGAAAGUUUGUUGGAGGUUUAGAGAGAAUAUGAAAGUGUAGGUUGUGAAAGUGAAUAGUGUGCAAGUGUAUUGUGUAAGUUUAUUUAAAUGAGUACAGUUAACACAAAAAUAGCAAAUUUGGGAAGUUACGCUAAUUGUCAGAAAGUUGAAUACCAAAAAUCAUCAUUAACCACCCACUACCUGACACACGUAGACCACGUGCAGAAAUUUACUCGGUAACUGCUAUUUUAAUGGACAACUGUUCAGCAGUGAAUACUAAACGUUUCCC
This 285-nucleotide long non-coding RNA is filed under the name Trifolium pratense (red clover). Its description in RNAcentral is "long non-coding RNA (TPRA_LNC008007)". Lineage: Eukaryota; Viridiplantae; Streptophyta; Magnoliopsida; Fabales; Fabaceae. The record is from RNAcentral.